CGGCGGGGCGUGGGCGCUGGGGUGCAGCAGGCCAAUGGCGGGGGCGCGAGAUGGGCCGCGGCCCACGCGGGCGAUGCGCGUGCAGUGGGGGGGGAAAGGAGGGGGCUGGGCUGGUGCUGCUGCAGGGUUGGGCCAAAAUUUGCAGAGAGAAGGAAACUCCCUUUCUCUUUUUUUUUAUAAAGAGUGAUUUACAAACUAUUUUGCAAAACAAAUUUCAAACCAUUUUGAAUCCAAACAAAACCUGGGAUCAUUUGGAACUUGUUUUUUUUUAGACUAUUUUGAAAUCCAAAUAUAUUUUAGUUUAAACACAUUUCUAAAUUGUUUUCCAACUCGAAUUAGUUUUCAAAUAGGACUUUUGGAGUUUUAUUUUUUUUUUGAAAACCAACAGGACCCAAACGUGGCUCGCUAGAAAAUAUUAAAAUUCUUUUUUUUUCACACAGAAGCUAAACAAAGCUAGGGCACAAAAGCACACAACCGCAAACAUAACACCCUUCACUUAAUUUUAUAAAAGUUUUAAAAUUCCACAAUUUUCUCUCUUUUUGAAUUCAAUAACUAAAUAAAUCUUGGAAUAUUUUAGAAAAAUUUAAAUUCUUAUUUAAUUUAGUGUUUUCUAAUAACAAUCCAAAAUUAAAAAUUUUGGAGUGUUAUAGAUCUACCCCACUUAACAUAAAUCUCGUCCCGAGAUUUGAAGAAACUAGAGAGAAAGAUAAAGUAGAUCAUCGAAGUUGUUUCGAGACUUUCAAGAUGUGAUCAAAGGAUUAAAGAUAGACAUAAAGGGUAUAGAGUAUGCUACAGAUUUGAAGACAAAGAAAGAUAAACAUAUGAGAUAGAAAUUGAUCUUUGGAUCCUGUAUUACGAUAAAGUGCAAGGGCAAAAAGCCAAGGUUAACAGGAGAUAACACAUAGGAGACAAAGAUAGAUACUAUAGUACUCACAAUUUCCUCGAUUCUGGAUAUGUAUAAGAUAGUAGAUGAAAGGAUAAAGAAUUAGCAAAAGUUGACGAGGGAGACUUAAAUUUAUUUUCCAGUCUUCACGCUUAAUAUUUUGUAGUCCUAUGAGACGUAGGAUCAAAGAUCACAUGAUAGAAAAAUUGAUAAGGGUUCAUUGCGAGAAUGAUAAUGAUCAAUAUAUAGUUCUCCAUGUCUUUAUGAUUAGAGAUUUUCGAGAGUGAUGAUCGUAGCAGACGCUACCCCACUUAAACCAAGUGUUAGCUUAUCUUCCAAAAUCCUGUAUAAGAACACUCAUCUUGACGGUAGAUAAUCUUCAAAGUUUUCCUUUGGAGGUUACUAGUUUGACAACACGCUGCACAGAUGGAGAUUCCGAGGAACAGGGAGAGAAUCAACACAACGAUUGGGAAAGGAUAGAUUAAAAUUAUCUUAAUUUCCUUGGUGAUGGUGUGCGACUACACCAAAAGAUGAAGAGUGUAUUCAGGAUAAAGCUCUCAGGCACCACCCGGAAAAGCAAUCCAAGG
RNAcentral lists this long non-coding RNA (1470 nucleotides) under Sorghum bicolor (sorghum). Its description in RNAcentral is "long non-coding RNA (SBIC_LNC017459)". The record is from RNAcentral. Lineage: Eukaryota; Viridiplantae; Streptophyta; Magnoliopsida; Poales; Poaceae.